This 395-nucleotide ribosomal RNA is filed under the name Stenamoeba sp. A2 NM-2009a. Its description in RNAcentral is "bacterial SSU rRNA". It matches the Rfam family "Eukaryotic small subunit ribosomal RNA", at positions 904 to 1296 of the family's 1831-position model. The record is from RNAcentral. Lineage: Eukaryota; Discosea; Longamoebia; Thecamoebida.
GUCAGAGGUGAAAUUCUCGGAUUUAGGAAAGACUUGACUUCAGCGAAAGCAUUUGCCAAGGACGUUUUCAUUAAUCAAGAACGAAAGUUAGGGGAUCGAAGACGAUCAGAUACCGUCGUAGUCUUAACCAUAAACGAUGCCGACCAGGGAUCGGGAGACGUUACCUCGAUGACUCUCCCGGCACCUUGCGGGAAACCACAAGUCUUUGGGUUCCGGGGGGAGUAUGGUCGCAAGGCUGAAACUUAAAGGAAUUGACGGAAGGGCACCACCAGGAGUGGAGCCUGCGGCUUAAUUUGACUCAACACGGGGAAACUUACCAGGUCCGGACAUAGGAAGGAUUGACAGACCGAUAGCUCUUUCUUGAUUCUAUGGGUGGUGGUGCAUGGCCGUUCUUA